UGAGAAGUAGCAGCUGGAGCCAACCUUUGUUUUAUUGUUUUAUUUGAUAGGCUGAUUUUAAGCAGGAUUUAAAACGCAAAUUGUGGAGCAAUUAAAUGUUGCUUGUAGUUCAUAGUAUGAAAUAAAAUGUUUGUACUUUUAGACUCUUAACGUUGGGUGACUGAAACUUCCAGUCAAUUGUUUGGCUAUGCCAACCAAGAAAUAAGAUUCCAGUCACCUGCUUGUCUCUGACUGAAGAGGAACCUGUGGCCCAUUUCAGCGAGAGACAGGCCAAUCAGAAUGCACAGCCUUGGAAGGAGGGGACAGAAGCAGACAGAGGAGGGUGCAUUAAAGACUUGAAGUGCUUGGGAUAAAUAAUCAUAUUUCUAUGCACCCACAAUGCUGGAAAAGCACCAUCUGGGACAGGCUGUGGAUUUGCAUUACAAUAUAAAUGGGAAGUUGCUGGAGCUGAAAAGGUGAUGCGAAGUCACUCAGCUACCCCCUCACUCUCUGACAGGUCACAUCUCCCUCCUCACACCAGGUAGCAGGCAGACGCAAGUCACUUUGUUGGUGCACGGUAUGCUGUGUACUCUUGUCACUCGACUGCGCACCCUCCACCUCAUCUCUCUUUUUUUCUUUUUCUUUUUUUGAACAAUCUCCUCAGCUAGAGUAGCCUGAUAGCGUAUGCACUAGUGGCUUCACUUUCAGAUGUGGCUUCACUGAACCUUUAGAGCUCAGUUCAUAUACAAGUAGGUGCAGAGGAGAUGAGGAGACAAGCAAAGAGGAGCUGGUGUGAGAGGUGAUGCUGGUGGCACAAUAAAACCGCUAUAUAACCUGAUUGUGAUUGUGUGAUUUAUACAUAACUUUCUAUCCUUUAAAUGUUCCUGCUCAACAGCAAUAUUGUCAGUCAACGAGGCAUGCAAAUGCAUUUCCACAAUUAAAAUUUUGAAAGCUAAA
Molecule: long non-coding RNA, 936 nt
Organism: Monopterus albus (swamp eel)
Lineage: Eukaryota; Metazoa; Chordata; Actinopteri; Synbranchiformes; Synbranchidae
Exons: 3
Source: RefSeq, a predicted model, not a curated record